CACAAUGUGGCUAGCUAAACUCACAUCACUUGUCAUCCUCUGUGCAUUCUCAGAGUUAUUAAGAGGGGAUUCCAUUAACCAGCAAUCCUUUGAUACGGGUACAGAGAAUGAAAUGAAGACUCUCACUUGUACCUACAGAACCACAAGUGCCAACCCCUGUCUCUAUUGGUACAAACAACAUCAAUACAAUGCUUUGGAGUAUAUCCUGCGACAGUCCAGUUCCCCCACUGCCUGUUCUAGCCAAGUAGCAAAUAAUGACCCAAGAUUCCGUUCAAAUGCAACCAGUUCUAGUGCAGUGUUAACCAUUGUGAGCCUGGCUCUGACAGACACUGCUGUAUACUAUUGUGUACUGGGCGAUUCUCACACUGACAAAAUCGAUCCAAGAGCUGAACAGAAACAUUCCUAG
Molecule: non-coding RNA, 406 nt
Organism: Xenopus laevis (African clawed frog)
Lineage: Eukaryota; Metazoa; Chordata; Amphibia; Anura; Pipidae
Source: the annotation of a RefSeq genome assembly